Molecule: ribosomal RNA, 450 nt
Filed under: uncultured bacterium
Lineage: Bacteria
Description: bacterial SSU rRNA
Rfam family: Bacterial small subunit ribosomal RNA
Source: RNAcentral
AGUCCAGACUCCUACGGGAGGCAGCAGUGGGGGAUAUUGCACAAUGGGGGAAACCCUGAUGCAGCGACGCCGCGUGUGGGAAGACGGUCCUCUGGAUUGUAAACCACUGUCCCCAGGGACGAAGAUGACGGUACCUGGGGAGGAAGCUCCGGCUAACUACGUGCCAGCAGCCGCGGUAAUACGUAGGGGGCAAGCGUUAUCCGGAUUUACUGGGUGUAAAGGGAGCGUAGGCGGCAGUGCAAGUCAGAAGUGAAAGCCCGGGGCUCAACUCCGGGACUGCUUUUGAAACUGUACAGCUUGAUUGCAGGAGAGGCAAGUGGAAUUCCUAGUGUAGCGGUGAAAUGCGUAGAUAUUAGGAGGAACACCAGUGGCGAAGGCGGCUUGCUGGACUGUAAAUGACGCUGAGGCUCGAAAGCGUGGGGAGCAAACAGGAUUAGAUACCCCUGUAGU